AGAGUUUGAUCCUGGCUCAGGAUGAACGCUGGCGGCGUGCUUAACACAUGCAAGUCGAACGAAGCACUUUAUUUGAUUUCCUUCGGGACUGAUUAUUUUGUGACUGAGUGGCGGACGGGUGAGUAACGCGUGGGUAACCUGCCUUGUACAGGGGGAUAACAGUUGGAAACGGCUGCUAAUACCGCAUAAGCGCACAGCAUCGCAUGAUGCAGUGUGAAAAACUCCGAUGGUAUAAGAUGGACCCGCGUUGGAUUAGCUAGUUGGUGAGGUAACGGCCCACCAAGGCGACGAUCCAUAGCCGACCUGAGAGGGUGACCGGCCACAUUGGGACUGAGACACGGCCCAAACUCCUACGGGAGGCAGCAGUGGGGAAUAUUGCACAAUGGGCGAAAGCCUGAUGCAGCGACGCCGCGUGAGCGAAGAAGUAUUUCGGUAUGUAAAGCUCUAUCAGCAGGGAAGAUAAUGACGGUACCUGACUAAGAAGCACCGGCUAAAUACGUGCCAGCAGCCGCGGUAAUACGUAUGGUGCAAGCGUUAUCCGGAUUUACUGGGUGUAAAGGGAGCGCAGGCGGUGCGGCAAGUCUGAUGUGAAAGCCCGGGGCUCAACCCCGGUACUGCAUUGGAAACUGUCGUACUAGAGUGUCGGAGGGGUAAGCGGAAUUCCUAGUGUAGCGGUGAAAUGCGUAGAUAUUAGGAGGAACACCAGUGGCGAAGGCGGCUUACUGGACGAUAACUGACGCUGAGGCUCGAAAGCGUGGGGAGCAAACAGGAUUAGAUACCCUGGUAGUCCACGCCGUAAACGAUGAAACUAGGGUGUUGGGAAGCAAUUGCUUUUCAUGGGCCGUCGGCCAAACGCAGAAAGUAUUCCACAUGGGGAGUACGUUCGCAAGAAUGAAACUCAAAGGAAUAGACGGGGACCCGCACAAGCGGUGGAGCAUGUGGUUUAAUUCGAAGCAACGCGAAGAACCUUACCAAGUCUUGACAUCCUUCUGACCGGUACUUAACCGUACCUUCUCUUCGGAGCAGGAGUGACAGGUGGUGCAUGGUUGUCGUCAGCUCGUGUCGUGAGAUGUUGGGUUAAGUCCCGCAACGAGCGCAACCCUUAUCUUUAGUAGCCAGCGGUUCGGCCGGGCACUCUAGAGAGACUGCCAGGGAUAACCUGGAGGAAGGCGGGGGUGACGUCAAAUCAUCAUGCCCCUUAUGACUUGGGCUACACACGUGCUACAAUGGCGUAAACAAAGGGAAGCAAAGCUGUGAAGCCGAGCAAAUCUCAAAAAUAACGUCUCAGUUCGGACUGUAGUCUGCAACCCGACUACACGAAGCUGGAAUCGCUAGUAAUCGCAGAUCAGAAUGCUGCGGUGAAUACGUUCCCGGGUCUUGCACACACCGCCCGUCA
This 1396-nucleotide ribosomal RNA is filed under the name uncultured bacterium. RNAcentral's name for it is "bacterial SSU rRNA". It matches the Rfam family "Bacterial small subunit ribosomal RNA". The record is from RNAcentral.